This 71-nucleotide transfer RNA is filed under the name Marmota monax (woodchuck). RNAcentral's name for it is "tRNA.Ala". It matches the Rfam family "tRNA". Rfam says of the family: Transfer RNA (tRNA) molecules are approximately 80 nucleotides in length. Their secondary structure includes four short double-helical elements and three loops (D, anti-codon, and T loops). The record is from RNAcentral. Lineage: Eukaryota; Metazoa; Chordata; Mammalia; Rodentia; Sciuridae.
GGGGUUGUGGCUCAGGGGUAGAGCGCUUGUCUCGCACACGUGAGACCCUGGGUCCAAUCCUCAGCACCACA